UAAAUUAAGCGGGGAACGAACCCGCAACGUCGGAUUUGAAGUGCAGUGCCUUGACAACUGCGCUAUUGAUCC
Non-coding RNA from Araneus ventricosus, 72 nucleotides. NCBI's taxonomy places the organism in Eukaryota, Metazoa, Arthropoda, Arachnida, Araneae, Araneidae. The record is from the annotation of a GenBank genome assembly.